Molecule: non-coding RNA, 101 nt
Organism: Hypoxylon sp. NC0597
Lineage: Eukaryota; Fungi; Ascomycota; Sordariomycetes; Xylariales; Hypoxylaceae
Source: the annotation of a GenBank genome assembly
GGGCUUGUGGUUUAGUGGUAUAAUACUCCCUUAGCAUCAUACGGUUUUCAAGAUCGUCAACCGCUUGGGAGUGGUCCGGGGUUCGAUUCCCCGCGAGUCCA